This 451-nucleotide ribosomal RNA is filed under the name uncultured bacterium. RNAcentral's name for it is "bacterial SSU rRNA". It matches the Rfam family "Bacterial small subunit ribosomal RNA", at positions 354 to 796 of the family's 1533-position model. The record is from RNAcentral.
GUGGGGAAUUUUGCGCAAUGGGCGAAAGCCUGACGCAGCAACGCCGCGUGAGUGAUGAAGGCUUUCGGGUCGUAAAGCUCUGUCGAGGGGAAAGAAAUGUAUUUGGGUUAAUACCCUGGAUACUUGACGGUACCCCUAAAGGAAGCACCGGCUAACUCCGUGCCAGCAGCCGCGGUAAUACGGGGGGUGCAAGCGUUGUUCGGAAUUAUUGGGCGUAAAGCGCGUGUAGGCGGUUUGUUAAGUCUGUUGUGAAAGCCCUGGGCUCAACCCAGGAAGUGCACUGGAUACUGGCAGACUUGAAUACGGGAGAGGGUAGUGGAAUUCCUGGUGUAGGAGUGAAAUCCGUAGAUAUCAGGAGGAACACCGGUGGCGAAGGCGGCUACCUGGACCGAUAUUGACGCUGAGACGCGAAAGCGUGGGUAGCAAACAGGAUUAGAAACCCCAGUAGUCC